CAAAUUUGAAAGCUGGCCCCUUCGGGGUCCGCGUUGUAAUUUGCAGAGGAUGCUUCGGGUGCAGCCCCCGUCUAAGUGCCCUGGAACGGGCCGUCAUAGAGGGUGAGAAUCCCGUCUGGGACGGGGUGUCUGCGUCCGUGUGAAGCUCCUUCGACGAGUCGAGUUGUUUGGGAAUGCAGCUCUAAAUGGGUGGUAAAUUUCAUCUAAAGCUAAAUACUGGCCGGAGACCGAUAGCGCACAAGUAGAGUGAUCGAAAGAUGAAAAGCACUUUGAAAAGAGAGUUAAACAGCACGUGAAAUUGUUGAAAGGGAAGCGUUUGCGACCAGACUCGCCCGCGGGGUUCAGCCGGCAUUCGUGCCGGUGUACUUCCCCGUGGGCGGGCCAGCGUCGGUUUGGGCGGCCGGUCAAAGGCCCUCGGAAUGUAUCACCUCUCGGGGUGUCUUAUAGCCGAGGGUGCAAUGCGGCCUGCCUGGACCGAGGAACGCGCUUCGGCUCGGACGCUGGCGUAAUGGUCGUAAAUGACCCGUCUUGAAACACGGACCAAGGAGUCUAACAUCUACGCGAGUGUUCGGGUGUCAAACCCGUACGCGCAGUGAAAGCGAACGGAGGUGGGAGCCCCCUCGCGGGGCGCACCAUCGACCGAUCCUGAUGUCUUCGGAUGGAUUUGAGUACGAGCGUAGCUGUGGGGACCCGAAAGAUGGUGAACUAUGCCUGAAUAGGGCGAAGCCAGAGGAAACUCUGGUGGAGGCUCGCAGCGGUUCUGACGUGCAAAUCGAUCGUCAAAUUUGGG
RNAcentral lists this ribosomal RNA (790 nucleotides) under Aspergillus fumigatus. RNAcentral's name for it is "LSU rRNA". It matches the Rfam family "Eukaryotic large subunit ribosomal RNA", at positions 110 to 915 of the family's 3401-position model. Lineage: Eukaryota; Fungi; Ascomycota; Eurotiomycetes; Eurotiales; Aspergillaceae. The record is from RNAcentral.